This 74-nucleotide transfer RNA is filed under the name Candidatus Altimarinota bacterium. RNAcentral describes it as "tRNA-Trp". It matches the Rfam family "tRNA". Rfam says of the family: Transfer RNA (tRNA) molecules are approximately 80 nucleotides in length. Their secondary structure includes four short double-helical elements and three loops (D, anti-codon, and T loops). Further hydrogen bonds mediate the characteristic L-shaped molecular structure. tRNAs have two regions of fundamental functional importance: the anti-codon, which is responsible for specific mRNA codon recognition, and the 3' end, to which the tRNAs corresponding amino acid is attached (by aminoacyl-tRNA synthetases). tRNAs cope with the degeneracy of the genetic code in two manners: having more than one tRNA (with a specific anti-codon) for a particular amino acid; and 'wobble' base-pairing, i.e. permitting non-standard base-pairing at the 3rd anti-codon position. Lineage: Bacteria; Candidatus Altimarinota. The record is from RNAcentral.
GGGUCUGUCGUUCAAUGGUAGGCCUGCGGUCUCCAAAACCGCCAAUGAAGGUUCGAUACCUUCCGGACCCGCCA